UACGUAGGGGGCAAGCGUUAUCCGGAUUUACUGGGUGUAAAGGGUGCGUAGGUGGCAGGGCAAGUCAGAUGUGAAAGCCCGGGGCUCAACUCCGGGACUGCUUUUGAAACUGUGUGACUGGAGUGCAGGAGAGGUAAGCGGAAUUCCUGGUGUAGCGGUGAAAUGCGUAGAUAUCAGGAGGAACACCAGUGGCGAAGGCGGCUUACUGGACUGUAACUGACGUUGAGGCUCGAAAGCGUGGGGAUCGAACAGG
This 253-nucleotide ribosomal RNA is filed under the name uncultured Lachnospiraceae bacterium. RNAcentral's name for it is "partial 16S ribosomal RNA". It matches the Rfam family "Bacterial small subunit ribosomal RNA", at positions 524 to 776 of the family's 1533-position model. The record is from RNAcentral. Lineage: Bacteria; Bacillati; Bacillota; Clostridia; Lachnospirales; Lachnospiraceae.